UACAAAGUACCCUGAGGGAAAGUUGAAAAGAACUUUGAAGAGAGAGUUCAAUAGUACGUGAAACCGUUCAGAGUAAAACGGGUGGAGCCGCGUAGUCGCCAGUCUGAUUCAGCUGUAUCUGCAUUGGUUAGGGCGCUUUCGACGUGCACGUUCAGUCUGCUUGCGGGCUGAGUGGCACGCGGAGCGCUGUGCAUGGCGCGGAUCAGUGCUCUUCAGGCUGGCGUGCACCACGAGCUGUUCACUUGCUGUCAGCAGCGGUCGUGCUUGGAAGCUGCCCUUUUCGGAGGUCAGCGGAGGGCUCGACAGCGGGGCGGACCAGUCGAGUGGACAGAGGAGAAGCAACGUGCAGCUCUCGCUGUAUGGCGUGGACUGUCGCCGGGGGGCCGGUUGUGCGCUUUUUUUUCUACUCUGCUAGAGACUAGGGCGCACGCCGGUCGCGCGGCGGUAGUUUUCUCUACGGGAGCUGCAGUUCAGUGGUGAUUUUGUCGGUUCUCCACCCGACCCGUCUUGAAACACGGACCAAGGAGUCUAACAUGUGCGCGAGUCAUUGGGGAGUACGAAACCCAAAGGCGUAAUGAAAGUGAGGUGCCGGUUUUCGCCGUGCACUGGUGGGAUCCUGCAGUUGCUAUACUGCGGGCGGACCACCGGCCCGUUUUCUGGCCUUGUGCCUGAGGCGGAGCAGGAGCGUACAUGUUGGGACCCGAAAGAUGGUGAACUAUGGCUGGUUAGGAUGAAGCCAGAGGAAACUCUGGUGGAAGUCCGUAGCGAUUCUGACGUGCAAAUCGAUCGUCAAAACUGGCUAUAGGGGCGAAAGACUAAUCGAACCAUCUAGUAGCUGGUUCCCUU
RNAcentral lists this ribosomal RNA (846 nucleotides) under Thaumastoderma sp. Tetra1. Its description in RNAcentral is "eukaryotic LSU rRNA". It matches the Rfam family "Eukaryotic large subunit ribosomal RNA", at positions 342 to 961 of the family's 3401-position model. The record is from RNAcentral. Lineage: Eukaryota; Metazoa; Gastrotricha; Macrodasyida; Thaumastodermatidae.